This 425-nucleotide ribosomal RNA is filed under the name uncultured bacterium. RNAcentral's name for it is "partial 16S ribosomal RNA". It matches the Rfam family "Bacterial small subunit ribosomal RNA", at positions 354 to 796 of the family's 1533-position model. The record is from RNAcentral.
GUGGGGAAUAUUGGGCAAUGGGCGAAAGCCUGACCCAGCAACGCCGCGUGAAGGAAGAAGGUCUUCGGAUCGUAAACUUCUAUCCUUGGUGAAGAUAAUGACGGUAGCCGAGAAGGAAGCCCCGGCUAACUACGUGCCAGCAGCCGCGGUAAUACGUAGGGGGCAAGCGUUGUCCGGAAUGAUUGGGCGUAAAGGGCGCGUAGGCGGCCUGGUAAGUCUGGAGUGAAAGUCCUGCUUUUAAGGUGGGAAUUGCUUUGGAUACUGUCGGGCUUGAGUGCAGGAGAGGUGAGUGGAAUUCCCGGUGUAGCGGUGAAAUGCGUAGAGAUCGGGAGGAACACCAGUGGCGAAGGCGACUUACUGGACUGUAACUGACGCUGAGGCGCGAAAGCGUGGGGAGCAAACAGGAUUAGAAACCCGAGUAGUCC